This 83-nucleotide transfer RNA is filed under the name Clostridiales bacterium. RNAcentral's name for it is "tRNA-Leu". It matches the Rfam family "tRNA". From Rfam's summary of the family: Transfer RNA (tRNA) molecules are approximately 80 nucleotides in length. Lineage: Bacteria; Bacillati; Bacillota; Clostridia; Eubacteriales. The record is from RNAcentral.
GCUGAUAUGGCGAAAUUGGUAGACGCACAGGUCUCAAAAACCUGCGAGAAAUCAUGUGGGUUCGAGUCCCACUAUCAGCACCA